AUGGAGAAAAGUGAGCUCAGAAUCAAAGAUCAUCAGACAGCAAGAAAACGAUCCACCAUAGGCAAACAGACCACGGCCCAGGGGCCAGGCGUGCUGGGAGUGAGCUCCCCAAGGAGCAGCGUGGUGACAGAGGGCUCUCCUGAGUGCUUCCAUGGCCUCAUUAGCACCUCACUCACUGCUGGGGACCAGAGCACGAAGAUGAAAAGCAUCUUUACAGAGGUAAUUGUACCUGUGGGGAAAAGAUAGUUUUGGUUUGAAUUUAUUUUUUCCUUCCCAAGACAUAAAAGCAUUUUACUUUUCUUAAUCUUUCCAAAUGUAUGAUAUCAAGUCUACCUUCUCCAAUGGGUAGUAGAUCUCUUAAUGGCAUCUUCAGCAGAUCCAUAAUUUUCCAGUUGUUUUCAGAUACUAAGUCUCAGUGCCAUUUAAAAUAUCAAUUCCAAACUUGACUCUAUUCUCACUUCCUCCCCCUUCUCACCCUCUGCACUGUAAG
This 490-nucleotide long non-coding RNA is filed under the name Sus scrofa (pig). Its description in RNAcentral is "lncRNA (ENSSSCG00070022862.1)". The record is from RNAcentral. Lineage: Eukaryota; Metazoa; Chordata; Mammalia; Artiodactyla; Suidae.